Long non-coding RNA from Octopus sinensis (East Asian common octopus), 285 nucleotides. RefSeq lists it as uncharacterized. The transcript has 3 exons. Lineage: Eukaryota; Metazoa; Mollusca; Cephalopoda; Octopoda; Octopodidae. The record is from RefSeq and is a predicted model, not a curated record.
UGUAUAUGUGUGUGUGAGCUGCAACCUUUGCCGGAUUACGGAAAUAUGUGGCCGAACAACGAAACACACGUGUUUUAAGCUUCAUCCAUAUUGCUGCACAGGGACUGGCUGCUUCCGGAUGCGCGGCUGGCGCAAAAGGCGGCGAAUGUGACUCCCUGAAUGUGGUCGACGUCGAUGGAUGCGUUUCGUGCAUUCGGAAGAACCGUGACAUGGCAGUCGGAGUUAAAGUCCGCCUGAGCUCCACAGUGGCCGACGAUGGACGGAACGAAGAAGAAAUAUAUCGGU